AGAGUUUGAUCCUGGCUCAGGACGAACGCUGGCGGCGUGCCUAAUACAUGCAAGUAGAACGCUGAAGGAGGAGCUUGCUUCUCUGGAUGAGUUGCGAACGGGUGAGUAACGCGUAGGUAACCUGCCUGGUAGCGGGGGAUAACUAUUGGAAACGAUAGCUAAUACCGCAUAAGAGUGGAUGUUGCAUGACAUUUGCUUAAAAGGUGCACUUGCAUCACUACCAGAUGGACCUGCGUUGUAUUAGCUAGUUGGUGGGGUAAGGGCUCACCAAGGCGACGAUACAUAGCCGACCUGAGAGGGUGAUCGGCCACACUGGGACUGAGACACGGCCCAGACUCCUACGGGAGGCAGCAGUAGGGAAUCUUCGGCAAUGGACGGAAGUCUGACCGAGCAACGCCGCGUGAGAGAAGAAGGUUUUCGGAUCGUAAAGCUCUGUUGUAAGAGAAGAACGAGUGUGAGAGUGGAAAGUUCACACUGUGACGGUAUCUUACCAGAAAGGGACGGCUAACUACGUGCCAGCAGCCGCGGUAAUACGUAGGUCCCGAGCGUUGUCCGGAUUUAUUGGGCGUAAAGCGAGCGCAGGCGGUUAGAUAAGUCUGAAGUUAAAGGCUGUGGCUUAACCAUAGUAGGCUUUGGAAACUGUUUAACUUGAGUGCAAGAGGGGAGAGUGGAAUUCCAUGUGUAGCGGUGAAAUGCGUAGAUAUAUGGAGGAACACCGGUGGCGAAAGCGGCUCUCUGGCUUGUAACUGACGCUGAGGCUCGAAAGCGUGGGGAGCAAACAGGAUUAGAUACCCUGGUAGUCCACGCUGUAAACGAUGAGUGCUAGGUGUUAGACCCUUUCCGGGGUUUAGUGCCGUAGCUAACGCAUUAAGCACUCCGCCUGGGGAGUACGACCGCAAGGUUGAAACUCAAAGGAAUUGACGGGGGCCCGCACAAGCGGUGGAGCAUGUGGUUUAAUUCGAAGCAACGCGAAGAACCUUACCAGGUCUUGACAUCCCUCUGACCGCUCUAGAGAUAGAGUUUUCCUUCGGGACAGAGGUGACAGGUGGUGCAUGGUUGUCGUCAGCUCGUGUCGUGAGAUGUUGGGUUAAGUCCCGCAACGAGCGCAACCCUUGAUCUUAGUUGCCAUCAUUAAGUUGGGCACUCUAAGGUGACUGCCGGUGACAAACCGGAGGAAGGUGGGGAUGACGUCAAAUCAUCAUGCCCCUUAGGACCUGGGCUACACACGUGCUACAAUGGCUGGUACAACGAGUCGCAAGCCGGUGACGGCAAGCUAAUCUCUUAAAGCCAGUCUCAGUUCGGAUUGUAGGCUGCAACUCGCCUACAUGAAGUCGGAAUCGCUAGUAAUCGCGGAUCAGCACGCCGCGGUGAAUACGUUCCCGGGCCUUGUACACACCGCCCGUCACACCACGAGAGUUUGUAACACCCGAAGUCGGUGAGGUAACCGUAAGGAGCCAGCCGCCUAAGGUGGGAUAGAUGAUUGGGGUGAAGUCGUAACAAGGUAGCCGUAUCGGAAGGUGCGGCUGGAUCACCU
This 1534-nucleotide ribosomal RNA is filed under the name Streptococcus pneumoniae. RNAcentral describes it as "bacterial SSU rRNA". It matches the Rfam family "Bacterial small subunit ribosomal RNA". The record is from RNAcentral. Lineage: Bacteria; Bacillati; Bacillota; Bacilli; Lactobacillales; Streptococcaceae.